Molecule: ribosomal RNA, 1302 nt
Filed under: metagenome
Description: bacterial SSU rRNA
Rfam family: Bacterial small subunit ribosomal RNA
Source: RNAcentral
GAGGGGCGGGGGAAGUGGCGAAAGGGGCAGUAAGGCGUGGGUAACCUACCCUGGGGACUGGGAUAGCCUUCCUAACGGGAGGGUAAUACCAGGCGAUGUAAUCGGGGCGCAUGUUUUGGUUACGAAAUGAAUUUCGCCUCGGGCGGGGCCCACGUGGUAUUAGCUUGUUGGUGAGGUAACGGCUCAUCAAGGCGAAGAUGCCUAGCAGGUGUGAGAGCACGACCUGCGCCACUGGCACUGAGACACUGGCCAGACUCCUACGGGAGGCUGCAGUCGAGGAUCUUCGGCAAUGGGCGCAAGCCUGACCGAGCGACGCCGCGUGUGCGAUGAAGGCCUUCGGGUUGUAAAGCACUGUCGAGGGGGAGGAAAGCCCGCAAGGGUCUGACCUAUCCCUGGAGGAAGCACGGGCUAAGUUCGUGCCAGCAGCCGCGGUAAGACGAACCGUGCAAACGUUGUUCGGAUUCACUGGGCUUAAAGGGCGCGUAGGCGGCUUGCCAAGUCAGGGGUGAAAUCUUUCGGCUCAACCGGAAAAUUGCUUUUGAUACUGGUGAGCUUGAGGGAGGUAGGGGCAGAUGGAACUUCCGGUGGAGCGGUGAAAUGCGUAGAUAUCGGAAGGAACGCCGGUGGCGAAAGCGAUCUGCUGGAUCUCUACUGACGCUGAGGCGCGAAAGCCAGGGGAGCAAACGGGAUUAGAUACCCCGGUAGUCCUGGCCCUAAACGAUGGGUACUAGGUAGUGGACUUGACAUGGGUUCACUGCCGAAGCAAAAGUGUUAAGUACCCCGCCUGGGGAGUAUGGUCGCAAGGCUGAAACUCAAAGGAAUUGACGGGGGCUCACACAAGCGGUGGAGCAUGUGGUUUAAUUCGACGCAACGCGCAGAACCUUACCAGGGUUUGACAUCCUGUGCUCACCGGAGAGAUCCGGUUUCCCCGCAAGGGGCGCAGAGACAGGUGCUGCAUGGCUGUCGUCAGCUCGUGUCGUGAGAUGUUGGGUUAAGUCCCGCAACGAGCGCAACCCUCGCCUUUAGUUGCCAUCAUUAAGUUGGGCACUCUAGAGGGACCGCCGGCGGCAAGCCGGAGGAAGGUGGGGAUGACGUCAAGUCCUCAUGGCCCUUACACCCUGGGCUACACACGUGCUACAAUGGCGGUGACAGUGGGCAGCCAACUCGCGAGAGUGAGCUAAUCCCAAAAAACCGUCCCAGUUCAGAUUGCAGUCUGCAACUCGGCUGCAUGAAGGUGGAAUCGCUAGUAAUCGCAGAACAGCAGGCUGCGGUGAAUACGUUCCCGGGCCUUGUACACACCGC